Salvia splendens (bonfire salvia) is the source of this 1493-nucleotide long non-coding RNA. RefSeq lists it as uncharacterized. The record is from RefSeq and is a predicted model, not a curated record. Lineage: Eukaryota; Viridiplantae; Streptophyta; Magnoliopsida; Lamiales; Lamiaceae. The transcript has 5 exons.
AAAAAGAAAAGAAAAGAAAAAAUUGGGGGAACAGAUCUAGAAAAAGGAAAAAACCGUGCAGAAUUAAAGAAAGAGUUCCAAGACGAGAAUAAGCUGUUGGAGGAAGAGAUGGGGAGCUUCGUGAUGGAGUAAUGGGAGGAAAAGACAACGAUUAGCGGGGCUUCAACUUGAAGCACUUCUGGAAGAGAAAUCAAGAUCGCAAAAUAAGAAUGCCAAAUCUUCUUUCAGGGCUCCAGGGCAAGUCCCAAGUAGCAUGUUGAAUAUGCUAGAUUAUGAUUGUAAUCUGGCAACACUAUGGCAGAAAGAGUAGAAAGAAACAUGGUAAGGGGUAGAACAAGAGCAAAAUGGGGAGAAAAGAAGAAAAAAAUAUAAAAAAGAAAAAAAACAGAAAUAAGAAGAAAAAAAAGAGAAGGCAGAUCUGUGGAAAAAAAAGAAAAGAAAAAUUUGUGGAACAGAUCUAGAAAAGGGAAAAACAGAGAGCAGAAUCAAAGGAAGAUUUCCAAGAAAAUGUGAAAACAAUAGCCAGAGUAAGCUAUUGGAGGAAAAAAUGGGAAGUUUCAUGAUGGAGUAAUGGGAGGAAAGCAUGACGAUUUGGUUAGGCUUCAACUUGAAGCACUUCUGGAAGGGAAAUCAAGAGCUGAAAAUGAGAAUUCAAAGUUGAAUAGGGAAAACAAAUACCUGCAUCAACUAGUGGAGUACCCUCGCUCAACAGAUCCGAAAUAGCAUGGAAAUUAGGCUGCCAAAUCUUCUUUCAGGACUCCAGGACAAGAUGAACUUUCCAGGCUUGGUGAACAGAUGGUUCAUAGUUCCGAGGGUAAAAGAGCUUUAGCUCGGGUACUUUGCCAUGAACUUCACGACAAGUUCCUCCAGCAUGGUCUGAACUCAGGGAAUGGACAAACGAAGACAUGCUAUUUAAGCUUUACAGUUCUAUAAGUGCUCAAAGCAUGGCAAGAAUGGAAGUGCUUCUCUAGGAGGACCAUAAUGUCAAGCGGAGGAAAGAGCGUAUCCAGAAACAGUGCUCUAUUCUUUCCAAGCUUAUUACACAUCUCUAUAUUUAUUUUAAUCUGGCAUCCGCUGCAUUCACCUAUUCUAAUGCAGUAGAAAGUCCAUCCGUUGCUGGCCCAUCUUCCCGGGAGGUCUGGAGAUGCUGCGUUUGAUGCUGCUGCCAGCGGUCCAAACCCAUCAUAUGUGGAUUCUAGAUCAAUGGGCCCCAGCCGCUGGAACAGUGAUCCUUUUCAAAAUGGUAAUAUAAACCAUGGCUGCCGACGAACACCCUUGCGUUUGCCACCUGCUCCUCCAUCAUCUGCGUCUGUUUAUACAUUCUAAGGUAGAUGGAAUUUUGACAAAUCAAUUCUUGCAAUUCUUGAGGGAUGUUUCAUCAGUUUCUCGAGCUCGCAUCGAGCCCUAAAUCUUCUCCUUGGUUUGGUCUUUCGAGGACCAAUCAAUAUAGACAUUUUUGUGUGUAGAUGUCCGGUUUAUGUUGUACUUAUGUU